RNAcentral lists this ribosomal RNA (274 nucleotides) under uncultured bacterium. RNAcentral's name for it is "partial 16S ribosomal RNA". It matches the Rfam family "Bacterial small subunit ribosomal RNA", at positions 523 to 796 of the family's 1533-position model. The record is from RNAcentral.
CUACGAAGGGGGCUAGCGUUGUUCGGAUUUACUGGGCGUAAAGCGCACGUAGGCGGAUUGAUUAGUUAGGGGUGAAAUCCCGAGGCUCAACCUCGGAACUGCCUCUAAAACUGUCAAUCUCGAGACCGGAAGAGGUGAGUGGAACUCCUAGUGUAGAGGUGGAAUUCGUAGAUAUUAGGAAGAACACCAGUGGCGAAGGCGGCUCACUGGUCCGGUACUGACGCUGAGGUGCGAAAGCGUGGGGAGCGAACAGGAUUAGAAACCCCAGUAGUCC